GGGUUGUGAGGUUAAGCGACUAAGCGUACACGGUGGAUGCCCUGGCAGUCAGAGGCGAUGAAGGACGUGCUAAUCUGCGAUAAGCGUCGGUAAGGUGAUAUGAACCGUUAUAACCGGCGAUUUCCGAAUGGGGAAACCCAGUGUGAUUCGUCACACUAUCAUUAACUGAAUCCAUAGGUUAAUGAGGCGAACCGGGGGAACUGAAACAUCUAAGUACCCCGAGGAAAAGAAAUCAACCGAGAUUCCCCCAGUAGCGGCGAGCGAACGGGGAGGAGCCCAGAGCCUGAAUCAGUGUGUGUGUUAGUGGAAGCGUCUGGAAAGGCGCGCGAUACAGGGUGACAGCCCCGUACACAAAAAUGCACAUGCUGUGAGCUCGAUGAGUAGGGCGGGACACGUGGUAUCCUGUCUGAAUAUGGGGGGACCAUCCUCCAAGGCUAAAUACUCCUGACUGACCGAUAGUGAACCAGUACCGUGAGGGAAAGGCGAAAAGAACCCCGGCGAGGGGAGUGAAAAAGAACCUGAAACCGUGUACGUACAAGCAGUGGGAGCACGCUUAGGCGUGUGACUGCGUACCUUUUGUAUAAUGGGUCAGCGACUUAUAUUCUGUAGCAAGGUUAACCGAAUAGGGGAGCCGAAGGGAAACCGAGUCUUAACUGGGCGUUAAGUUGCAGGGUAUAGACCCGAAACCCGGUGAUCUAGCCAUGGGCAGGUUGAAGGUUGGGUAACACUAACUGGAGGACCGAACCGACUAAUGUUGAAAAAUUAGCGGAUGACUUGUGGCUGGGGGUGAAAGGCCAAUCAAACCGGGAGAUAGCUGGUUCUCCCCGAAAGCUAUUUAGGUAGCGCCUCGUGAAUUCAUCUCCGGGGGUAGAGCACUGUUUCGGCAAGGGGGUCAUCCCGACUUACCAACCCGAUGCAAACUGCGAAUACCGGAGAAUGUUAUCACGGGAGACACACGGCGGGUGCUAACGUCCGUCGUGAAGAGGGAAAUAACCCAGACCGCCAGCUAAGGUCCCAAAGUCAUGGUUAAGUGGGAAACGAUGUGGGAAGGCCCAGACAGCCAGGAUGUUGGCUUAGAAGCAGCCAUCAUUUAAAGAAAGCGUAAUAGCUCACUGGUCGAGUCGGCCUGCGCGGAAGAUGUAACGGGGCUAAACCAUGCACCGAAGCUGCGGCAGCGACACUAUGUGUUGUUGGGUAGGGGAGCGUUCUGUAAGCCUGUGAAGGUGUACUGUGAGGUAUGCUGGAGGUAUCAGAAGUGCGAAUGCUGACAUAAGUAACGAUAAAGCGGGUGAAAAGCCCGCUCGCCGGAAGACCAAGGGUUCCUGUCCAACGUUAAUCGGGGCAGGGUGAGUCGACCCCUAAGGCGAGGCCGAAAGGCGUAGUCGAUGGGAAACAGGUUAAUAUUCCUGUACUUGGUGUUACUGCGAAGGGGGGACGGAGAAGGCUAUGUUGGCCGGGCGACGGUUGUCCCGGUUUAAGCGUGUAGGCUGGUUUUCCAGGCAAAUCCGGAAAAUCAAGGCUGAGGCGUGAUGACGAGGCACUACGGUGCUGAAGCAACAAAUGCCCUGCUUCCAGGAAAAGCCUCUAAGCAUCAGGUAACAUCAAAUCGUACCCCAAACCGACACAGGUGGUCAGGUAGAGAAUACCAAGGCGCUUGAGAGAACUCGGGUGAAGGAACUAGGCAAAAUGGUGCCGUAACUUCGGGAGAAGGCACGCUGAUAUGUAGGUGAAGUCCCUCGCGGAUGGAGCUGAAAUCAGUCGAAGAUACCAGCUGGCUGCAACUGUUUAUUAAAAACACAGCACUGUGCAAACACGAAAGUGGACGUAUACGGUGUGACGCCUGCCCGGUGCCGGAAGGUUAAUUGAUGGGGUCAGCGCAAGCGAAGCUCUUGAUCGAAGCCCCGGUAAACGGCGGCCGUAACUAUAACGGUCCUAAGGUAGCGAAAUUCCUUGUCGGGUAAGUUCCGACCUGCACGAAUGGCGUAAUGAUGGCCAGGCUGUCUCCACCCGAGACUCAGUGAAAUUGAACUCGCUGUGAAGAUGCAGUGUACCCGCGGCAAGACGGAAAGACCCCGUGAACCUUUACUAUAGCUUGACACUGAACAUUGAGCCUUGAUGUGUAGGAUAGGUGGGAGGCUUUGAAGUGUGGACGCCAGUCUGCAUGGAGCCGGCCUUGAAAUACCACCCUUUAAUGUUUGAUGUUCUAACGUUGACCCGUGAUCCGGGUUGCGGACAGUGUCUGGUGGGUAGUUUGACUGGGGCGGUCUCCUCCUAAAGAGUAACGGAGGAGCACGAAGGUUGGCUAAUCCUGGUCGGACAUCAGGAGGUUAGUGCAAUGGCAUAAGCCAGCUUGACUGCGAGCGUGACGGCGCGAGCAGGUGCGAAAGCAGGUCAUAGUGAUCCGGUGGUUCUGAAUGGAAGGGCCAUCGCUCAACGGAUAAAAGGUACUCCGGGGAUAACAGGCUGAUACCGCCCAAGAGUUCAUAUCGACGGCGGUGUUUGGCACCUCGAUGUCGGCUCAUCACAUCCUGGGGCUGAAGUAGGUCCCAAGGGUAUGGCUGUUCGCCAUUUAAAGUGGUACGCGAGCUGGGUUUAGAACGUCGUGAGACAGUUCGGUCCCUAUCUGCCGUGGGCGCUGGAGAACUGAGGGGGGCUGCUCCUAGUACGAGAGGACCGGAGUGGACGCAUCACUGGUGUUCGGGUUGUCAUGCCAAUGGCACUGCCCGGUAGCUAAAUGCGGAAGAGAUAAGUGCUGAAAGCAUCUAAGCACGAAACUUGCCCCGAGAUGAGUUCUCCCUGACUCCUUGAGAGUCCUGAAGGAACGUUGAAGACGACGACGUUGAUAGGCCGGGUGUGUAAGCGCAGCGAUGCGUUGAGCUAACCGGUACUAAUGAACCGUGAGGCUUAACCUUACAACGCCGAAGGUGUUU
RNAcentral lists this ribosomal RNA (2930 nucleotides) under Escherichia coli. Its description in RNAcentral is "23S ribosomal RNA". It matches the Rfam family "Bacterial large subunit ribosomal RNA". Lineage: Bacteria; Pseudomonadati; Pseudomonadota; Gammaproteobacteria; Enterobacterales; Enterobacteriaceae. The record is from RNAcentral.